CUGCCAGGUACAAUAUAGGAUACCCAAUUAAAUUUGAAUUUCAGAUAAAUAACAAAUAAUUUGGGCCAUAAUUAUGCUAAAACAUUAUUUGUUGUUUAUCUAAACUCCAAUUUAUGCAAUUUA
This 123-nucleotide microRNA precursor is filed under the name Tursiops truncatus (common bottlenose dolphin). RNAcentral describes it as "miRNA (ENSTTRG00000022889.1)". The record is from RNAcentral. Lineage: Eukaryota; Metazoa; Chordata; Mammalia; Artiodactyla; Delphinidae.